GGCCAUCUAUAUAUAUUAUUAAUAACAUAUGAUCCCAUAUACAAACUGAAUGAGACAUUCACAAAGCUGCGAAGAAUUCUUUUUGCUAUAAUUUCUUGCCUCGAAGAGGAGCUUGAUUCAUUAAGAGUCAUCAUGCUUUAAGUAUUUCCUCCUCAAUUAUUUAAAUGAAAUGGUGGCCUGAUUGAUUCAAUCACAUCCCUCAUAUCGGCUUCAAGAAGCCGACUCUUCAAUGCGGCUAUAAUUAUAGAUAUCAAUGAAAGUUGAGGGAGAUGACCAAAUUCAUAAGUAAGAGGAAGGGCAAGCCCUAAAGGUGUGCAAGAUAUGUAACGGCAUAGGGUCCAACAAUCAUGUGUAUUUUUUUUAUUUUUUUUAAAGAAUGUUCUACAAGGAAUUUAUUUUUACAAAAAUUAAUGGCACAAAAUUUGGGAAUAAAAAGGAUUCAAAAUAUACAUAAAUAUUAGAUGAAUAUAUAUAUAUAUAUAUAUAUA
Long non-coding RNA from Ziziphus jujuba (common jujube), 488 nucleotides. RefSeq lists it as uncharacterized. The transcript is spliced from 3 exons. NCBI's taxonomy places the organism in Eukaryota, Viridiplantae, Streptophyta, Magnoliopsida, Rosales, Rhamnaceae. The record is from RefSeq and is a predicted model, not a curated record.